RNAcentral lists this ribosomal RNA (715 nucleotides) under uncultured bacterium. RNAcentral's name for it is "bacterial SSU rRNA". It matches the Rfam family "Bacterial small subunit ribosomal RNA", at positions 99 to 850 of the family's 1533-position model. The record is from RNAcentral.
CAGACGGGUGAGUAACGCGUGGGAACGUACCUUUCGCUACGGAAUAGCACCGGGAAACUGGUGGUAAUACCGUAUACGCCCUCCGGGGGAAAGAUUUAUCGGCGAAAGAUCGGCCCGCGUUGGAUUAGCUAGUUGGUGAGGUAAUGGCUCACAAAGGCGACGAUCCAUAGCUGGUCUGAGAGGAUGAUCAGCCACACUGGGACUGAGACACGGCCCAGACUCCUACGGGAGGCAGCAGUGGGGAAUCUUGCACAAUGGGCGAAAGCCUGAUGCAGCCAUGCCGCGUGAAUGAUGAAGGCCUUAGGGUUGUAAAAUUCUUUCGUCAGGGAUGAUAAUGACCGUACCUGAAGAAGAAGCCCCGGCUAACUUCGUGCCAGCAGCCGCGGUAAUACGAAGGGGGCUAGCGUUGUUCGGAAUUACUGGGCGUAAAGCGCACGUAGGCGGAUUCUUAAGUCAGGUGUGAAAUCCCGGGGCUCAACCUCGGAACUGCAUUUGAAACUGGGGAUCUUGAGAUCAGGAGAGGUUAGCGGAAUACCGAGUGUAGAGGUGAAAUUCGUAGAUAUUCGGUGGAACACCAGUGGCGAAGGCGGCUAACUGGACUGAUACUGACGCUGAGGUGCGAAAGUGUGGGGAGCAAACAGGAUUAGAUACCCUGGUAGUCCACACCGUAAACGAUGAGAGCUAGUUGUUGGCAGGCAUGCCUGUCGGUGACGCA